GAAAAAAGAAUGUUAGCUGUUGGACAGGCAACGUUAUUCUGCUUAGUAGAAUAAUUAUAUUAUCCUUGUCUUCCUAAGAGAGGGAAUACUUAGUAACUUUUUCAUGUUGUCUGUCUCCAUCUACAGACACACGCAGAGUAGUUGUGAAUAUCUAGAUCACUGGGCUCAUUCCUAUAGAGGAAAAAAUGUCUUUUGGGUAUGGGUCAUGUUGGAAAAUUGUCACAUGCUGUAUGUUAGAUCUCAAACAAGUCUCACCCAGAACCUGGGCAGUGAGCAUCAAGCAAAACAAAUGUCCCCAGCCUCUCUCCCUUCCCAGCUUUGUCCAGCAGCCCAGCCCUUUUGUUUUUGGUAAAGGGGUGAUGUAAUCUCCUGAAAUGGGCAGUGUUGUCAGGUCCCAGGAAGACUGGAAUGUUCAAGGUUCCUGACACUUCUAAAGCUACUGCUGAGAUGUAAACUCCCUUAGGGUCAAUGAGCCCAUAAGAAGUGUUACCAAUGAUAUAAAUCUGAGAUCUUAUCUCUAAUAAAGGGGUUAAAUUAUUCUAGAUAGAAUAAAAUUAAAUAAAACAAAACAAAACAUCAAAACUUGAGGCCAAGUCGCAGAAGGUCAAUGUUACACAGGACUGGAGGAGGAGACUUUAAGACAAUAUACUUAAUGGUUAAAGUUGGUCCCCAGUGCUCCAGCCCAAUCUAAGGAAGAGGAGGCUGGUGAAGGCCCCACCUUCCUUCACCAGAGGCCUGAUGGGGAAGCAGCAGAGGGGAGGAAACCUCUCUUCCGCUUCCUCUCGGCUCUUCUGGCCAACCCUGGCAGCCUAAGUCUAAAACAGGCUUAUGAGCGCCAUGUCUGAAUGCAUCCCUGGCUUGUGGUGCUUUCAGAUGAAGUAGGCCCCUGGGGUGGCCUGUGGAGCUUGUGAGGAGUCCCAGACAAGCACCCACAGAUGGCUGGGUCCUCACCUUGUCUUUCCUGGCAACUCAUGAGCAUGUGUGUGAAAGGGAGAGGGGUCAGGGGCGCCCCACCCCCAAGUUUCUCCUUGUCAGGUGUUUGAUCACAGCAACAAGAUAAGUAUCUAAGGUACUUGGUGAUGAUAGAAUGGCAGACAGCAGAGCCUGGUGGCCCAGCUGCAAGUCUAGCCACUCAAUGAGACCCAGAGUCAAAAUGAACACUAGAAAAUAGCCUCUGGCAGCCCAGUGGCAGAGCAUGCACCUUGCUUCUGGGUUCAAUCUCUAAUGCACAGAGGGAAAAGAAUUAAAAGUUUUUCUCAGCUCCUUAACAUGAUGGGACUCCAGGGCUGAACUUAACACUUACUUUGAAGGCAAAGGUAAAGUGUCCAUGAAUUUUUGCAGUCAGCGUCUAUCCAGUGCUCACCAAGCAGUUUCAGCUCCAGUGCCCUGGGCUUGGUAAGUGGCUAGAAAUGGGAUGCUGGGAAGGAGGCGUGCCAGGAGGCAGGUGUAUUUGCUGUGAGCAAACUGGACUAAAAGAGGUUUAGCUGCCACUGGAGCCACUUGUGUUGGUGCCCAUGGUCUUCCCUCCCAUCGCCUGUCAGUCUUUCUUGGGUGUUCAUUAGGACUGGGGCAGGAGAAAAUGUAAAAACUGUAGUAAAGUACAAACAACAUAAAAUUAGCUUCUUAAGUAGGCUUGUGUGCGCUUCGGUGGCCUUAGAGGCUUUGACUUUUCUUACCAACCUUCACACUUCCAUAUCUCAUAAAUCCAUCUCUGAGCCCCAGGAGACCACCAUUUUGUUCCUGGAACUGUGACUGACGUUGUGUAGCUUGCAUAACUCAAGUUCUUUUUUGGAGUGGGUGUGGGGUGGGGUGGUUUUUUUCUCUGUGUAGCCCUGGCUGUUGUGGAACUCACUCUGUAGACCAGGCUGGCCUCAAACUUAGAAAUCUACCUACCUCUGCCUCCCAAGUGCUAGGAUUAAAGGCGUGUGCCACCACUGCCCAGCAUAACUGAAGUUUUUUUUUGACUGUUUGUUGACUUACUUGCUCUGUUCUUGAGGUUGACCACGAGUUAGCAACUAUGGGCCCUUGUGGAGGCUUGAAUGACAAUGGCUCCUACAGCUUAUCUUUUCAAAUGCUUUCUCAUCCAGCAGUGGCACUAUUUGAAAAGGAUAGUCCUUCUUAAUGCUUUAUAAAAUUCUAUAUAAGACUUAUUUGUUUAUCCUGUUGUUGACAGAUACUUGGUUCCAGGGGUCUUGGCUAUUGUAAACUGCUGCUAUAAACAUCCUACUGUAAAUGUUUUGAUAAAAAAUAUCCCACUGCAUUUCUGUUGUGUGUUAUCUAAGUAAGGUAAGAGAGUACAUUCAUUUCUACUUCAACAGAUACUUCCAAGCAGUUUCUCAGUGUGGCACCUAGAGUUUAUCUACCCAACUUCAGUAUUUCUAGAUCAUCUCUAAUGCUUGAUAUUUUCCCCUCUUUAUCUUACUUGUUCUUGUAGGGUUCAGUAAUUUAUCUUUUUUAUUUUAGAGUUCCCUAGUGAUAAACUGAAAGUUGGCAGAGUAUUUUGGUACACUGUGUGAAGUUUACCCUUGUAUUAUUUCAAAUGCUGAUUUCUCUGUCCAACAAUCUGGUUUCAAUCUGGACGGGGCUUUGUUUUAUUUCUUCUUAGAAGCUCCUGCCUCAAGUUUAUAUAAAUGCUGCUCCUCAUUCAUUCUCUGCCUGCCAAUAAAAGCCAACAAGCCAAUACAGAGCUUUAGAGAAAAUGGGAGGGAUUUCCCAUUCUAGGAGGAAGUGACAGGAAGUGAAGGAGGAGAGCCACUAGGAGAGGUCGAGAAAACAUCAGGAGAAUAGAGAGGGAACAAGAAAAGAUAAAGAACUGCAAGUAAUAUGAAGAUAUGUCUGAAAAGAUAAAGAACUGCAAGUAAUAUGAAGAUAUGUCUUGGAGGAAGCCUGACUAACUUGGAAGUUUAGAAUGGAGUGAUAAUUGUUCAGUAUUUGUCUCAAGGCAAUUUUAAUAAAUCUUAGUCUCUCUGUGCGGUUACUAGGGAAUUAGCUGGUUAAGAAAUAGCUGCCAUCAUAGUACCUUUAUCCAUCUAUACUAACACACAUAUGCAUACAGAGAUUUAGAAACCUUUGUGUAUUCUGAAUAUAUUUUUUGCUAUCCAAUGUGCUGCUUUUACACUCUGUUAAGGUAUUCUUUGCUGUUAUUAUUUACUGUUGUUUAUUUGGGUGGUGGGAUGCUGGGUCUUGAACUCAGGGCCUUGAGAAUCUAUAUAAAUGUUCUACUACUAAGCUAUGUCUGCAAACUCUACAGCCAUUAUUAAAUGAAUAGACAUUGUUAAUUUAAUAAAAGUCAAUAU
This 3296-nucleotide long non-coding RNA is filed under the name Mus musculus (house mouse). RNAcentral describes it as "long non-coding RNA chr11:54710337-54713633". The record is from RNAcentral. Lineage: Eukaryota; Metazoa; Chordata; Mammalia; Rodentia; Muridae.